RNAcentral lists this ribosomal RNA (459 nucleotides) under uncultured bacterium. RNAcentral describes it as "partial 16S ribosomal RNA". It matches the Rfam family "Bacterial small subunit ribosomal RNA", at positions 338 to 795 of the family's 1533-position model. The record is from RNAcentral.
CCUACGGGUGGCAGCAGUGAGGAAUAUUGGUCAAUGGGCGCGAGCCUGAACCAGCCAAGUCGCGUGCGGGAUGACGGCCCUAUGGGUUGUAAACCUCUUUUGUAGGGGGGCAAAAGCCGCCACGCGUGGCGUUCCGAGAGUACCCGAAGAAAAAGCAUCGGCUAACUCCGUGCCAGCAGCCGCGGUAAUACGGAGGAUGCGAGCGUUAUCCGGAUUUAUUGGGUUUAAAGGGUGCGCAGGCGGAAGAUCAAGUCAGCGGUAAAAUUGAGAGGCUCAACCUCUUCGAGCCGUUGAAACUGGUGUUCUUGAGAGAGUGAGAGGUAGGCGGAAUGUGUGGUGUAGCGGUGAAAUGCAUAGAGAUCACGCAGAACUCCGAUUGCGAAGGCAGCAUACCGGCGCUCAACUGACGCUCAUGCACGAAAGUGUGGGUAUCGAACAGGAUUAGAUACCCGAGUAGUC